GUUCAGAUGUUGCUACUGAUUUUAAAUUUGAGGAGUAUGGUGCAUCAAGACAAUGUUGUUCUCAUGGAUUUCAUGUAGUUGACAGAUUUGGAAUGCCAAUUAUACACUAAACGCAGCCUUGCUGUGAGUUCCUCCGCUGCGGGUGCAUGCACUAAUUUUGAUCAAAAUUUCUGGCGUAACGUCACACGCUGUUGAAGAAAAGGUUGGAGUACUGCUGUUCAAUCUUGGUGACCCAGAGACCCUCAAUGAUGUUCAGCCGUUUUUGUUCAAUCUCUUUGCUGAUUCAUUGAUUCAUUGUGGCUCGAUGGUCCAGGAUGAGAAGGUAGAGCUAAACAUCCAAUUCAUGUAAUAUUUGAGCUUCCCACGCAUCUGGAGGGAUCCUUGCGAAAUAUAUUGCGUCUUCUACCAGGAAGGAGAUCACAUGCAUUCUAGUAUCCUGAAGGUAC
Lolium perenne is the source of this 446-nucleotide long non-coding RNA. RefSeq lists it as uncharacterized. Lineage: Eukaryota; Viridiplantae; Streptophyta; Magnoliopsida; Poales; Poaceae. The record is from RefSeq and is a predicted model, not a curated record.